UGGGCCGUCCGACCCGUCGCUACGUCCGGGACUCGUCCGGGACGUAGAGCAAAGUCCGGACUCGUAGUAGAGACCGCUCGGGCCAACAACCCGAGGUACGGAACGUGCAAGCGUCCGUAACGUCAAGUGCAACAGAGAGUAGACCAGCCGAUGACCGGGGAAUCUCUCCGGCACAGGUGAUGGGUGAAAGGGUGGGGUAAGAGCCCACCGGCGGUACCCUGAAAAGGACCGGCCAGGUAAACCACCGGCGCGAGCAAGCCAAAUUGUCUGGAACCCCAGACUGGUAGGUGCGGCUCCACAGAGGAGCGCGGGAGCGGUUAUCCGCCCCCGGAGAUGGAUGACGGGAUAAAGCAGGAUCCGGCUUACGGGACGGCCCAAGCC
This 381-nucleotide RNase P RNA is filed under the name Actinomycetota bacterium. Its description in RNAcentral is "RNase P RNA component class A". It matches the Rfam family "Bacterial RNase P class A". From Rfam's summary of the family: Ribonuclease P (RNase P) is a ubiquitous endoribonuclease, found in archaea, bacteria and eukarya as well as chloroplasts and mitochondria. Its best characterised activity is the generation of mature 5'-ends of tRNAs by cleaving the 5'-leader elements of precursor-tRNAs. Lineage: Bacteria; Bacillati; Actinomycetota. The record is from RNAcentral.